This 440-nucleotide ribosomal RNA is filed under the name uncultured bacterium. RNAcentral describes it as "partial 16S ribosomal RNA". It matches the Rfam family "Bacterial small subunit ribosomal RNA", at positions 338 to 795 of the family's 1533-position model. The record is from RNAcentral.
CCUACGGGAGGCAGCAGUGGGGGAUAUUGCACAAUGGCGGGAACCCUGAUGCAGCGACGCCGCGUGGGGGAAGAAGCGCCUCGGCGCGUAAAGCCCUGUCAGCAGGGAAGAAAAUGACGGUACCUGAAGCAGAAGCCCCGGCUAACUACGUGCCAGCAGCCGCGGUAAUUCGUAGGGGCCAAGCGUUAGCGGGAUUUCCUGGGUGUAAAGGGGGCGCAGACGGGGAUGCAGGCCAGGAGUGAAAGCCCGGGUCCCAACCCGGGGACUGCGAUUGGAACUGCGUGGCUGGAGGGCAGGAGGGGUAGGAGGAAUGCGUGGUGUAGCGGUGAAAUGCGUAGAUAUCAGGCGGAACACCGGUGGCGAAGGCGGCCUACUGGACUGCAACUGACGUUGAGGCACGAAAGCGUGGGGAGCAAACAGGAUUAGAUACCCUGGUAGUC